AGCCGGGCCUUGUGCAACGGAGAAUCACGAACCCCGCCAGGUCCGGGAGGAAGCAACGGUACGUGGGGCUCUUUGGGUGCCGUGAGGGUGCCUGAUUUGA
This 100-nucleotide signal recognition particle RNA is filed under the name Candidatus Atribacteria bacterium. RNAcentral's name for it is "signal recognition particle sRNA small type". It matches the Rfam family "Bacterial small signal recognition particle RNA". Rfam says of the family: The signal recognition particle (SRP) is a universally conserved ribonucleoprotein involved in the co-translational targeting of proteins to membranes. Archaeal SRP consists of a 7S RNA and homologues of the eukaryotic SRP19 and SRP54 proteins. Lineage: Bacteria; Pseudomonadati; Atribacterota; Atribacteria. The record is from RNAcentral.